GUCGAGGGGCAGCACGGUAUAGCAAUAUAUGGGUGGCGACCGGCAAACGGGUGCGGAACACGUACACAACCUUCCGGUGAGAGGGGGAUAGCCCAGAGAAAUUUGGAUUAAUACCCCAUACUAUAAUGGUCAGGCAUCUGAUUAUUAUCAAAGGCUUCGGCCGCUUAUUGAUGGGUGUGCGUCUGAUUAGGUAGUUGGCGGGGUAGAGGCCCACCAAGCCUACGAUCAGUAGCUGAUGUGAGAGCAUGAUCAGCCACACGGGCACUGAGACACGGGCCCGACUCCUACGGGAGGCAGCAGUAAGGAAUAUUGGACAAUGGACGCAAGUCUGAUCCAGCCAUGCCGCGUGAAGGAUGAAUGCCCUCUGGGUUGUAAACUUCUUUUACAGGGGAAGAAAGUUAUCUUUUUCAGGAUAUUUGACGGUACCCUAUGAAUAAGCACCGGCUAACUCCGUGCCAGCAGCCGCGGUAAUACGGAGGGUGCAAGCGUUAUCCGGAUUCACUGGGUUUAAAGGGUGCGUAGGCGGGUAUGUAAGUCAGUGGUGAAAUACCGGAGCUUAACUUCGGAACUGCCAUUGAUACUAUAUAUCUGGAAUAUUGUGGAGGUAAGCGGAAUAUGUCAUGUAGCGGUGAAAUGCUUAGAGAUGACAUAGAACACCGAUUGCGAAGGCAGCUUGCUACGCAAAUA
RNAcentral lists this ribosomal RNA (687 nucleotides) under uncultured bacterium. Its description in RNAcentral is "bacterial SSU rRNA". It matches the Rfam family "Bacterial small subunit ribosomal RNA", at positions 61 to 739 of the family's 1533-position model. The record is from RNAcentral.